RNAcentral lists this ribosomal RNA (510 nucleotides) under uncultured bacterium. Its description in RNAcentral is "partial 16S ribosomal RNA". It matches the Rfam family "Bacterial small subunit ribosomal RNA", at positions 28 to 507 of the family's 1533-position model. The record is from RNAcentral.
GACGAACGCUGGCGGCGUGCUUAACACAUGCAAGUCGAACGAAGAGCGAUGGAAGCUUGCUUCUAUCAAUCUUAGUGGCGAACGGGUGAGUAACGCGUAAUCAACCUGCCCUUCAGAGGGGGACAACAGUUGGAAACGACUGCUAAUGCCGCAUACGAUCUGACCUCGGCAUCGAGGAUAGAUGAAAGGUGGCCUCUAUUUAUAAGCUAUCACUGAAGGAGGGGAUUGCGUCUGAUUAGCUAGUUGGAGGGGUAACGGCCCACCAAGGCGAUGAUCAGUAGCCGGUCUGAGAGGAUGAACGGCCACAUUGGGACUGAGACACGGCCCAGACUCCUACGGGAGGCAGCAGUGGGGAAUCUUCCGCAAUGGACGAAAGUCUGACGGAGCAACGCCGCGUGAGUGAUGACGGCCUUCGGGUUGUAAAGCUUUGUUAAUCGGGACGAAAGGCCUUCUUGCGAAUAGUUAGAAGGAUUGACGGUACCGGAAUAGAAAGCCACGGCUAACUACGUG